UUAGUCUGUAAAUGUGUGGUGUUAGAAAAGCAGGCUGAGUUCUGGGCUGGUUGUAGAAGGAGAAAGAAGCCCCCAGGCCAGUGCAGGCAGGCAGCCCUCAGCUUGCACCUGAUGUCCCCUCCCUGCAGGUUCCUGUCCUUGAGCCCAGGCCCUGAGGUGAGGCUGAGAAGUGGCGCGGAGGUGAGCCCAGAGCUGUCCCUGAGGAUUUCUCCUUCCCAAAGCUUGGCCAGAUGAAGGAGGCUGCGAGGAAGAGGAAGAUGCCUUGGGCCCCCCAGGCAGGCCCCGAGCUGAGGACGGAGAGCCCGGAGGACAAAUCCCCCCGGCAGAGCCUGGUGGGAGAGGCCGUUUUGAAGGGCUCCCCGGCGCAGGAAGGCAGCGGGGAGGAAAAGGGCCGGAGAUCCCCCCGCAGGAGGGGCUCCAAAGCCAGCCCAGGGUGCUCUGAGGAGGAAAGAGCCAGCCUGUGCCUGGAAGGCGGCCGGAACUUGAGGGGGAGCUCUGACCUGGUGGUCCCUGAGCAGCCUCCCAGCAGGGAGAAGCCCUUCAGGUGCCUGGAAUGUGGGAAGAGCUUCAGGAAGAGCUCGAGCCUCUUCACUCACCAGCACAUCCACACUGGUGUAGGGCCCUACACAU
Long non-coding RNA from Pseudopipra pipra, 630 nucleotides. RefSeq lists it as uncharacterized. The transcript is spliced from 3 exons. Lineage: Eukaryota; Metazoa; Chordata; Aves; Passeriformes; Pipridae. The record is from RefSeq and is a predicted model, not a curated record.